This 24-nucleotide non-coding RNA is filed under the name Arabidopsis thaliana (thale cress). Lineage: Eukaryota; Viridiplantae; Streptophyta; Magnoliopsida; Brassicales; Brassicaceae. The record is from RNAcentral.
AGGUUUUUCACAGACUGUUCAGAC